Molecule: ribosomal RNA, 468 nt
Filed under: uncultured bacterium
Lineage: Bacteria
Description: partial 16S ribosomal RNA
Rfam family: Bacterial small subunit ribosomal RNA
Source: RNAcentral
GACGAACGCUGGCGGCGUGCUUAACACAUGCAAGUCGAACGGAAAGGCCCUGCUUUUGUGGGGUGCUCGAGUGGCGAACGGGUGAGUAACACGUGAGUAACCUGCCCUUGACUUUGGGAUAACUUCAGGAAACUGGGGCUAAUACCGGAUAGGAGCUCCUGCUGCAUGGUGGGGGUUGGAAAGUUUCGGCGGUUGGGGAUGGACUCGCGGCUUAUCAGCUUGUUGGUGGGGUAGUGGCUUACCAAGGCUUUGACGGGUAGCCGGCCUGAGCGGGUGACCGGCCACAUUGGGACUGAGAUACGGCCCAGACUCCUACGGGAGGCAGCAGUGGGGAAUCUUGCACAAUGGGCGGAAGCCUGAUGCAGCAACGCCGCGUGCGGGAUGACGGCCUUCGGGUUGUAAACCGCUUUCGACGGUGACGAAGCGUGAGUGACGGUAAUGGGUAAAGAAGCACCGGCUAACUACGUG